GCUGGAAUGGCCGAGUCGUUAAGGCGAGUGAUUUGAACUUGCAAACUCAUCACUUGGUGUUUCACCGCGUAGGUUCAAAUCCUGCUUCCAGCG
This is a non-coding RNA of Gymnopilus junonius, 93 nucleotides long. The record is from the annotation of a GenBank genome assembly. NCBI's taxonomy places the organism in Eukaryota, Fungi, Basidiomycota, Agaricomycetes, Agaricales, Galerinaceae.